Molecule: long non-coding RNA, 537 nt
Filed under: Cotesia glomerata
Lineage: Eukaryota; Metazoa; Arthropoda; Insecta; Hymenoptera; Braconidae
Description: uncharacterized LOC123271945
Source: RNAcentral
UGGGGGUAACUGCGUAGUAUCCUCUGGUUAUAUAAGCAGCGCGCUCUGCCCAUACUUCACAGAAGGUUCACGUCUCCAGUGAAGUACGAGCUGCUGGUGUGUAAAAGUUAUCAUUGAAGUACGAGUAUACCCAAAGUUCAUCUAGUACUAUCAAUUCUUUCAACUAUGGAUCUUUCCAAGCUGAAUGAGGUUAAUUGUUUGGUUGGACUCUUACCCGUCAAGAAAAUGACUGAGUUGGAGUUUAAUCGAGAGUACAAAAUCAAAGGGUUAAAACAAGUCUCAACACAGUAUGGAAUAAGGAUUGUUGCAAAUAUUGAUAACGAGUUCAACAUCUAUUUACCGGCUAGAGCUGCAGUAUUAUUAAAAGGUGAUGGCGUCAUGGAGAUGUUGAAUGAUUUAUCAGAAUCAAAUCACUUAUUUAUCUGUUAUCAUGGCGGAAAAUACAAUAAAUUCGAAUUUAUCAAUUCUACUCUUGAUGUAAAAAGUACCAGUAGACCUAUUUAAAUCAAUAAAAUAUUUCAUUUUUCAUAUGAAUAA